GUGUCAGCCGCCGCGGUAAGACGGAGGGGGCAAGCGUUGUCCGGAAUUACUGGGCGUAAAGCGCUCGUAGGCGGUCGCAUACGGCGGUGGUGAAAGCUCCCGGCUCAACUGGGAGAGGCCCGCCGCAACGGUGCGACUCGAGGAUGGUAGAGGCAGAUGGAAUUCCUGGUGUAGCGGUGAAAUGCGUAGAGAUCAGGAGGAACACCCAUGGCGAAGGCAGUCUGCUGGGCCACACCUGACGCUGAGGAGCGAAAGCUAGGGGAGCGAACGGGAUUAGAUACCCUUGUAGUCC
RNAcentral lists this ribosomal RNA (292 nucleotides) under uncultured bacterium. RNAcentral describes it as "partial 16S ribosomal RNA". It matches the Rfam family "Bacterial small subunit ribosomal RNA", at positions 505 to 796 of the family's 1533-position model. The record is from RNAcentral.